RNAcentral lists this ribosomal RNA (433 nucleotides) under uncultured bacterium. RNAcentral describes it as "partial 16S ribosomal RNA". It matches the Rfam family "Bacterial small subunit ribosomal RNA", at positions 29 to 507 of the family's 1533-position model. The record is from RNAcentral.
AAUGAACGCUGGCGGCAUGCCUAACACAUGCAAGUCGAACGAGACCUUCGGGUCUAGUGGCGCACGGGUGCGUAACGUGUGGGAACCUGCCCUUAGGUUCGGAAUAACUCCCCGAAAGGGGUGCUAAUACCGGAUAAUGUCUUCGGACCAAAGAUUUAUCGCCUUUGGAUGGGCCCGCGUUGGAUUAGCUAGUUGGUAGGGUAAAAGCCUACCAAGGCGACGAUCCAUAGCUGGUCUGAGAGGAUGAUCAGCCACACUGGGACUGAGACACGGCCCAGACUCCUACGGGAAGCAGCAGUGGGGAAUAUUGGACAAUGGGCGAAAGCCUGAUCCAGCAAUGCCGCGUGAGUGAUGAAGGCCUUAGGGUUGUAAAGCUCUUUUACCCGGGAUGAUAAUGACAGUACCGGGAGAAUAAGCUCCGGCUAACUCCGUG